AAAUAGAAAAACAUUCCAUCCUUGUGGAUAGGAAGAAUCAAUAUCAUGAAAAUGGCUAUAAUGCCUGAAGUAAUUUAUAGCUUCAAUGCUAUUCCCAUUAAACCACUAUUGACAUUCUUCACAGAAUGAGAAAAAAACUAUUUUAGAUUUC
Nomascus leucogenys (northern white-cheeked gibbon) is the source of this 151-nucleotide long non-coding RNA. RefSeq lists it as uncharacterized. The transcript is spliced from 4 exons. The record is from RefSeq and is a predicted model, not a curated record. Lineage: Eukaryota; Metazoa; Chordata; Mammalia; Primates; Hylobatidae.